CAUCACGAGGACGGUGAUCGAUCCGAUCAGUGCACAGAUCGCUUUCCUUAUGGAUGGACGAGACUCGAGUCCAUAGUGUAGGGACACUGAAGUGAGAGUGCAGGUGCUUGUUAGAGAACAAGGGUACUGAGCGUGACCAAGACAAGAAGUCACUUGGAUAUCUAUCCACUCGUCAGUGACUUACUUGAUGUUGCAGUAGUGUGACUGGUCCUUUNNNNNNNNNNNNNNNNNNNNNNNNNNNNNNNNNNNUUGUAGUUUGACUGCACAUAUACAUAGUCUCUAGUCAUAUGGGUUCUUGUUGUGUAGAUUGGCUGCAGUAGGUUCACUAUAGGAGUAGGGUAUGCACUUACAUGGAAUCUAUCGACCUUGAUAGAAGAGGAGUGAUCCUAUGUGAUUUAUUAGACAGAGUUCUAAGACCUUGGCCAGGGCAAUAAUAUACAGUGGAGAAAGAGUUUUCCACUAUCGAACUCAAGUCGAAUAAAUCUAGACAUAUGACAGACGACGGGAUUUGACGAGUUAUCCAUGACCUCCGGUCUGUAGGGAUCCACGAUAGAAGGACUGUAUCAUACGAUAACUGCACCUAGAGGUUCAUUAUUCUAUUCUGCUGGAUGGCCACUACAUACUGCUAGGUGUCACUGGUGGAUGGUGAGACUCACAGGGAUCAUCUUGAUGGUCGAUAAACCCUGAUGAGUUGAGUUGAAAUUGUUUCAACCCAUUGAAAGGAGUUUUCAAUGAUAUUGUGAUAG
This 746-nucleotide long non-coding RNA is filed under the name Phoenix dactylifera (date palm). Its description in RNAcentral is "long non-coding RNA (PDAC_LNC014145)". The record is from RNAcentral. Lineage: Eukaryota; Viridiplantae; Streptophyta; Magnoliopsida; Arecales; Arecaceae.